GCUUGCUCUUAUGAAGUUAGCGGCGGACGGGUGAGUAACACGUGGGUAACCUGCCCAUAAGACUGGGAUAACUCCGGGAAACCGGGGCUAAUACCGGAUAAUAUUUUGAACCGCAUGGUUCGAAAUUGAAAGGCGGCUUCGGCUGUCACUUAUGGAUGGACCCGCGUCGCAUUAGCUAGUUGGUGAGGUAACGGCUCACCAAGGCAACGAUGC
RNAcentral lists this ribosomal RNA (213 nucleotides) under Bacillus anthracis (anthrax bacterium). Its description in RNAcentral is "partial 16S ribosomal RNA". It matches the Rfam family "Bacterial small subunit ribosomal RNA", at positions 78 to 282 of the family's 1533-position model. RNAcentral also lists the same sequence under 3 other names. Lineage: Bacteria; Bacillati; Bacillota; Bacilli; Caryophanales; Bacillaceae. The record is from RNAcentral.